GUGGCAUGUCUACUGCAUCAUGUGGAGCUGGAGCUGCAACUACUGCUUCAUUGUCUUAAUAGGCGAGCAGGUGUGGACUUCUCUUCUCGAAGCCCUACCUCAUGAAGGUGAGGAAUCAUUUCACAUCCUCUCAGAUGAGGUCGAUUUUAGCUCCAGAGAUGAGAGAUGUUUUGACAUUCAACCCAUUUCGAACAGAGCCCCAUGGUGUAGGGGCUCAAAAAGUAUUUACUACAGAGAGUUUUUUUUACACAUGGCGAACAGAGGUCUUGCAAAUAUAGAAGCCACCGUUUUAAUAUAUAUUAGCUUAUAACCCUAUAUCAUACAUGGGAUGUCAUUUUUUUAAAAUAAUAUUUGAUUUUAUUUAUCUUGUGAAGAUCCGACUUGAGGGAGAUUGGAGGGGGAAGCUCGAUGGCAAUGAUGGGGAGGAAGGCAAUGGUGGAGACGGCGAGAGGUGGUAGCUAG
This 462-nucleotide long non-coding RNA is filed under the name Elaeis guineensis (African oil palm). RNAcentral's name for it is "long non-coding RNA (EGUI_LNC024933)". The record is from RNAcentral. Lineage: Eukaryota; Viridiplantae; Streptophyta; Magnoliopsida; Arecales; Arecaceae.